This is a long non-coding RNA of Pimephales promelas (fathead minnow), 1546 nucleotides long. RefSeq lists it as uncharacterized. NCBI's taxonomy places the organism in Eukaryota, Metazoa, Chordata, Actinopteri, Cypriniformes, Leuciscidae. The record is from RefSeq and is a predicted model, not a curated record.
GUGUCCUUAGGGCCGUCCCGCUUUGGCACAGAAUCGCUGCCAUGUCCCCAAAAAUGGCAGUAGAAGCACAGAAGGUGCUGUUCUGGCACACGCUGACAAGAGGAACGGCGGCAGGACUUUUCCCUGCUAAGAUGCAUCUGAAAGUGAGUAGGUGAAACACGGAGCAACUCUCGAGUGCCAGUGGCUAACAACGGACGAAGCGGAUGGGCAGUCAAAGGAGGAACGUUGGAAGUGCGGGGACUCUGGGGAGAUUGGGAUGACAGACAUUCCAAUGUCCUCACGUCUGUGCAUCUGGCGAGGGAGGAGGGGAGGGGACCCUAUCUGGAUGCUGGUGGCAGGGAAUGGCAGAGAAGAGAAAUUAAUUUGAGAUUCGUUUUGAUCAAUUUGCCUAAAUUGGCGCUUUUUCGGGGGGAGGAGGGCGGCCCAGACGAGCAGACACAGGCUGGAGCUCCGCCAGGGUUUCUCGGGAAAGUUGCCACGCUGGGAGUGCGGGAGCACGGAGAGGGAGAGGAAUGGAAGAGAAAAAACCCAGGCGAGACUUGGCAGGGUUUUAUCGCAGCUCCCUUUGUCUGUUUGCUCAGCUUUUGCGCAAAGGAAAUCAAAAAUACCCAGAGUGCAGGAGCUCAGCUUUAGUGCUAAAAAACAAAAAUAAGGAAGAAAACUACCUUCUACUUUGCAAGAAGCUAGUGCAAAGGUGACGAAAUUGUUCCUCAUUUUUUUGGACUGGACUUUUGAAGUUGUUUGCGCCAAGAGAUGACCAUGUGUCUUCAGGGGUCUUUGUUAUCUUAACCGCAAAUGAAGAUGCAUCUGAUUUAUGUUCUAAUGGCUUCACUAUUGGAGAGAAUGUCUGGAACUACAAACGGCAUGUGCUAAAGAAAAGUUUGCGCCUCCAUGAUUGGACUAAACUUUUAAAACUUUGAGCCAGAACCAAGACAUUGCGUUCCUAAGAUGGAAAUGGAUGUUUUCGUCUAGGAGGAGGAAGUAAGCUGACUUUCCAAGUGUCCCCAUCAACAGUCUUCAUUCUUUGAGGGGAUAUUCCAGAAUUAGGGAAUUUAAUGCUUUACAAGAAGAAGAUGGAUUGUUGGUCGGCCAUUUUGGUGCUGAAAGGUUGCGGUCAACAGUGGAGUAUAAAGAAGGCCUGGAUGUUGAUUUCUUAACAUCUCCACCCAUUGGCAUUGCACUUGGAUUCUGGCUGCAUCAGCAGGCUUCCAGUUAAUAACUGUGAAAAGGGCAGGAAUGGAGAAGAGACAGAGAUAGAUUUUGUUGAUUCUGUGCCAGGAUGAAUUUGCCAGAUGUGUUUCAUCAUAAGACAGGUGCCCAUGGCUGAUAGAGCAGGUGCAUGAUGAUGUUUGGUGUUAUAGUUUGAUAUUAUGCUUUUCUGAAAAGGUUUCUCUGUUUUACAUCAAUACUCAAAAAAGCAAAGGCCUAAACUCUCUUCGGCUGAAUUUUAAUCAUCUGGACAUUGAAUUUUUAAUCACCAGACAGUAUUUAUGACCUUUUGUAGAUGGAUCCAAAUUAAAUAUCUCUUCACUGUUCUGUGUACCAU